UGAGCAAUCUGCCCUUCUCUUUGGAAUAAGCGUUGGAAACGACGUCUAAUGCCGAAUACGACCUCCUUUCGCAUGAUCGGAGGUGGAAAGCUCCGGCGGAGAAGGAUGAGCUCGCGGCCUAUUAGCUAGUUGGUGUGGGUAAUGGCCCACCAAGGCGACGACGGGUAGCCGGCCUGAGAGGGUGACCGGCCACACUGGGACUGAGACACGGCCCAGACUCCUACGGGAGGCAGCAGG
This 237-nucleotide ribosomal RNA is filed under the name uncultured bacterium. RNAcentral describes it as "partial 16S ribosomal RNA". It matches the Rfam family "Bacterial small subunit ribosomal RNA", at positions 118 to 354 of the family's 1533-position model. The record is from RNAcentral.